RNAcentral lists this ribosomal RNA (704 nucleotides) under Bovista aff. graveolens HC-PNNT-292. RNAcentral's name for it is "eukaryotic LSU rRNA". The stretch from base 299 to 452 matches the Rfam family "5.8S ribosomal RNA". Lineage: Eukaryota; Fungi; Basidiomycota; Agaricomycetes; Agaricales; Lycoperdaceae. The record is from RNAcentral.
AAGGAUCAUUAUUGAAUAUUCUGGAUGGGUUGUAGCUGGCUCUUCGGGGCAUGUGCACGCCUGUCUUGACUUUAUUCAUCCACCUGUGCACUUUUUGUAGUCUUGGAGGUUGAGAGCGGUCGACUAUCGGAUAGCUGUUAUGGCCUUUCCGGAUGUGAGGAAUUGCUGAGUGCAAAAGCAUACAGCUCUUCUCAAAACGACUUGCAAUACCUCUCCUUCAAGUACUAUGUAUUCAUAUACCACAUAGUAUGUUGUAGAAUGUGAUCAAUGGGCUUAUGUGCCUAUAAUAAUCAUAUACAACUUUCAGCAACGGAUCUCUUGGCUCUCGCAUCGAUGAAGAACGCAGCGAAAUGCGAUAAGUAAUGUGAAUUGCAGAAUUCAGUGAAUCAUCGAAUCUUUGAACGCACCUUGCGCUCCUUGGUAUUCCGAGGAGCAUGCCUGUUUGAGUGUCAUUAAAUUCUCAACCCCUCUAGCUUUUGCGAGCUGUGAUGGGGCUUGGAUGUUGGGUUUGCGGGCCUUUAUUACUAGAGGUCGGCUCUCCUGAAAUGCAUUAGCGGAACCGUUUGCAGUCCCGUCACUAGUGUGAUAAUUAUCUACACUGUGAUGAUUGCUCUCUGACUAGUUCAGCUGCUAAUCGUCCACUAUCGGACAAUAUUUAAUGAACUUCUUGACCUCAAAUCAGGUAGGACUACCCGCUGACUUAA